UCAAGGUUUGUAAACACACCAAUCAGCACCCUGUGUCUAGCUCAGGGUUUGUGAAUGCACCAAUCCACACUCUAUAUCUAGCUAAUCUAGUGGGGACGUGGGGAAAGAACUUUUGUGUGUAGCUCAGGGAUUGUAAACGCACCUAUCAGCACCCUGUCAAAACGGAGCAAUCGGCUCUCUGUAAAACAGACCAAUCGGCUCUCUGUAAAAUGGACCAGUCAGCAGGAUGUGGGUGGGGUCAGAU
RNAcentral lists this long non-coding RNA (244 nucleotides) under Homo sapiens (human). Its description in RNAcentral is "HSALNT0179596". The record is from RNAcentral. Lineage: Eukaryota; Metazoa; Chordata; Mammalia; Primates; Hominidae.